CGCAUGGUGCAGGGGUAAAAACUCCGGUGGUAUGAAAUGGACCCGCGUCUGAUUAGGUGGUUGGUGGGGUAACGGCCUACCAAGCCGACGAUCAGUAGCCGACCUGAGAGGGUGACCGGCCACAUUGGGACUGAGACACGGCCCAAACUCCUACGGGAGGCAGCAGUGGGGAAUAUCGCACAAUGGGGGAAACCCUGAUGCAGCGACGCCGCGUGAGCGAUGAAGUAUUUCGGUAUGUAAAGCUCUAUCAGCAGGGAAGAAAAUGACGGUACCUGACUAAGAAGCACCGGCUAAAUACGUGCCAGCAGCCGCGGUAAUACGUAUGGUGCAAGCGUUAUCCGGAUUUACUGGGUGUAAAGGGAGCGUAGACGGAGUGGCAAGUCUGAUGUGAAAACCCGGGGCUCAACCCCGGGACUGCAUUGGAAACUGUCAAUCUAGAGUACCGGAGAGGUAAGCGGAAUUCCUAGUGUAGCGGUGAAAUGCGUAGAUAUUAGGAGGAACACCAGUGGCGAAGGCGGCUUACUGGACGGUAACUGACGUUGAGGCUCGAAAGCGUGGGGAGCAAACAGGAUUAGAUACCCUGGUAGUCCACGCCGUAAACGAUGACUACUAGGUGUCGGGCAGCAAAGCUGUUCGGUGCCGCAGCAAACGCAAUAAGUAGUCCACCUGGGGAGUACGUUCGCAAGAAUGAAACUCAAAGGAAUUGACGGGGACCCGCACAAGCGGUGGAGCAUGUGGUUUAAUUUCGAAGCAACGCGAAGAACCUUACCUGCUCUUGACAUCUCCCUGACCGGCAAGUAAUGUUGCCUUUCCUUCGGGACAGGGAUGACAGGUGGUGCAUGGUUGUCGUCAGCUCGUGUCGUGAGAUGUUGGGUUAAGUCCCGCAACGAGCGCAACCCCUAUCUUUAGUAGCCAGCGGAUUGGCCGGGCACUCUAGAGAGACUGCCAGGGAUAACCUGGAGGAAGGUGGGGAUGACGUCAAAUCAUCAUGCCCCUUAUGAGCAGGGCUACACACGUGCUACAAUGGCGUAAACAAAGGGAGGCAGAACCGCGAGGUCGAGCAAAUCCCAAAAAUAACGUCUCAGUUCGGAUUGUAGUCUGCAACUCGACUACAUGAAGCUGGAAUCGCUAGUAAUCGCGAAUCAGAAUGUCGCGGUGAAUACGUUCCCGGGUCUUGUACACACCGCCCGUCACACCAUGGGAGUCAGUAUCGCCCGAAGUCAGUGACCCAACCGUAAGGAGGGAGCUGCCGAAGGUGGGACCGAUAACUGGGGUGAAGUCGUAACAAGGUA
Molecule: ribosomal RNA, 1292 nt
Filed under: metagenome
Description: bacterial SSU rRNA
Rfam family: Bacterial small subunit ribosomal RNA
Source: RNAcentral